GGACGCGGGGAUUGUACGCCUCGAUUCUAAGUCUUGAAGGGGCCCAAAACAAACAUUAGUGGACCAAGUUGAUAUAUAUAUAUAUAUAUAUAAUAAAACAGUUAUCAACAUACUAACCCCCAGGUUUUAUGAAAACACAUAUAACAUGAUAAAAUAGGUUUUCUGAAACCUAGCAUGUCGUGCAAUGUCUCAAAACAUAUCUUGUAUAUAUAAUAAUCACUAGUGAAUGUUCGAUAACCCCCAAGCCCCAUGCCAACUCCCCGUCUCUGUGCCAAUUGCCAGAGGAAAAUAACCCCCAAACCCCGUGCCAGCUCCCCGUCCCUGUGCUAAUAACCAGAGGAAAACCAUUUUCAGGCCUUAUGCCAACACCAUAACCGUCGCCCAGGACGGAAUAGAAUCUAUCCCUCGCCUCGUAACGGAAUUGGAACCACUAGGUAAGUACAAAAUCAUUGAACAUAUAUUUAUUUGAAAGGCAACUUCAUAGUAUAAAGUCAUCCAUUAUCUAUACUAUAAAGAGGUGUUCGAAACAUGUUCUAAAUAUCAUAUCGUCAUCCAUCAGAUAUUCUAUAAGAACACGGGUUAUAGGAAAAAUAGUAAUAAUUCAAUCUAGCCUCAGUUAGCAUGUUAUCUCAAAGUGUUUCAUAGAAUAUAAUUGUUAAAUCAUGAUUUUCCAUGUAUGCAUUUCUACUAUUAAAACAUGCAUUUUUAGAAGGGGUCCACUCACAGAUACUUAGCCGUAAAAAAGCCACGCAAACUAGCGAACACGGAAUCGUCACAAAUAAUUACCCCUAAGCACAUAAAGGGUCCAAUUAAUAAAACUAUAUUAUAACAAUUGAAUUUGGGAAAACGGAUGCUGAAAACGGAUUCAGGACGUCAAAUUACCCAAGAAGGGUCUUAGAUAAAUUUCGUAAACGUCAAUAGAAUAUUCCCUAAUGGAAUAUUCUCUAAUGGAAUAUUCCCUAACGGAAUAUUCCACAUAAAGGGUUUGGGUCGGUUAGGGUUUAGGGUUUAGGACUUAAGUUAGGGUUAGGUCUUAGAAUAAUGGGUUAAUGGGUUUAGGCUAAGGGCUAAAAGGUUUGGGUUUGAAACUGGGUUGGAAUUAAGGGUAGUGGUAUGCCAGACCAAAGGUUUGGGGUAGAAUAAGGUUUUGGGGCUAGGUUAGAUAAUUAGGUUGGGCUUGGAAUUGGGUUUAGGGCUUAGAGGGUAAAGGGUUAGGCUGCCCAAAAGGGCUGGGUUCCAUGGCCCAAUGAAUUGGGCCGAUCUAAAUAUGU
Molecule: long non-coding RNA, 1271 nt
Filed under: Malus domestica (apple)
Lineage: Eukaryota; Viridiplantae; Streptophyta; Magnoliopsida; Rosales; Rosaceae
Description: long non-coding RNA (MDOM_LNC018789)
Source: RNAcentral